UACGUAGGGUGCGAGCGUUGUCCGGAAUUAUUGGGCGUAAAGAGCUCGUAGGCGGUUUGUCGCGUCGGCCGUGAAAACUUGGGGCUUAACCCCAAGCUUGCGGUCGAUACGGGCAGACUUGAGUUCGGCAGGGGAGACUGGAAUUCCUGGUGUAGCGGUGAAAUGCGCAGAUAUCAGGAGGAACACCGGUGGCGAAGGCGGCAUCCUGGACCGACAUUGACGCUGAGGAGCGAAAGCUAGGGGAGCAAACGGG
RNAcentral lists this ribosomal RNA (253 nucleotides) under uncultured bacterium. RNAcentral's name for it is "partial 16S ribosomal RNA". It matches the Rfam family "Bacterial small subunit ribosomal RNA", at positions 524 to 776 of the family's 1533-position model. The record is from RNAcentral.